This is a long non-coding RNA of Gallus gallus (chicken), 799 nucleotides long. The record is from Ensembl. NCBI's taxonomy places the organism in Eukaryota, Metazoa, Chordata, Aves, Galliformes, Phasianidae.
CUGAAAUCUGUUCCCAAAGAAUGUGGGUUGUUUUACAAAGUGGCCUAUGUGGAUUUUGUCUGUAGAGAAGAUGGAGUUGGUGGAAUAUAACUUCUCAGGAAAUCUUGAUGGUAUUCGCACAAGAGUGUGAGCGACUGUACCUGUAUCUCUGUAGGCUCUCAUUUUGGCUAAAGGAAAAAGCAACGUUGAGAAACAGAAGAGUGACAAAUCUCCUCCCUCCCUCAAAUUCCGUCACCCCUUGGAUUACGCACAGUUGUGCUUUUCACACCUCUCAGAGUCACCUGCACAGCUUGUUUCAUAAAGCACACGCCGUUUGAUUAAAUGCCAUCGCUGGGAAGGGAGAGCAUAUUUGUUCAGCUGAUCUGGAUGAGCCAAACUAAAUCUCUAAUAGUCUGCAGUAACGAGGUCUUCCUCAGUUCCUCAUAGAGGGAACAGAACCGGCUCCAGAGAGUGAUUCAUCACAGCCCCAGACAGAUGUCAAAAACAAGAGUCACAUGAAUGGCAGUGCAUCAUGGGGGAACGAAUGUGCCCAUGUCCAGAUCCAAUCCAGGCACUGGGAGAAAAAAGCCCACUUGACAUUCCAGUGCUAGAAGUGCUUCUGGUACUCCCACUCAUCAUUUUGGUGCUGUCAGGCUUUGCUCUUGCUCCCUGCAGACCCCCAUGCUUGUGCUAAGAGCUGCUUGAAAGCUCGGAGGAUUAGAAGAUGGCAUCAGAACUCAUUGAGAUAUAAAUGACUUUAAUAUGCUUUGACACACACCUCAGUAAAUAAAGCUGGUGUGUUGCCAAGGUGAUGCUCCCG